UGCUGUCGCUUUACAAGGGCUGAAUACCUGCAUUUCUGACUAGGUUAUCCACCUGAAGUUAAGCAGAUUUUGGCUGGCCAGUACUUGGAUGGAAGACCAACUAGGAAAGGUGGGCUGUAGCUGGAG
This 126-nucleotide ribosomal RNA is filed under the name Paramormyrops kingsleyae. The record is from RNAcentral. Lineage: Eukaryota; Metazoa; Chordata; Actinopteri; Osteoglossiformes; Mormyridae.